Molecule: ribosomal RNA, 437 nt
Filed under: uncultured bacterium
Lineage: Bacteria
Description: bacterial SSU rRNA
Rfam family: Bacterial small subunit ribosomal RNA
Source: RNAcentral
GCAGAACGCGAAGAACCUUACCCAGGUUUGACAUGCAUCUCUAAGCGCGUGAAAGCGCGUGACCCUUCGGGGGAUUUGCACAGGUGCUGCAUGGCCGUCGUCAGCUCGUGUCGUGAGAUGUUGGGUUAAGUCCCGCAACGAGCGCAACCCUUGUGAACAGUUGCCAGCACUUAAGGUGGGAACUCUGUUCAGACUGCCCAGAUCAACUGGGAGGAAGGUGGGGACGACGUCAGGUCAGUAUGGCCCUUACGCCUAGGGCUGCACACGUACUACAAUGCCCAGCACAAUGAGAACCGAGACCGCGAGGUGGAGGAAAUCUAAAAAACUGGGCCCAGUUCGGAUUGGAGGCUGCAACUCGCCUCCAUGAAGUUGGAAUCGCUAGUAAUGGCGCAUCAGCUACGGCGCCGUGAAUACGUUCCCGGGUCUUGUACACACCG